GAUCUACCUAAUGCUAUUAAAUCUUGCAUCAUGCAUGGCGCCAGCUUUACUAUCGCUUGGUAUUUCUCCUUGGAAUGGAUCCUUCCCUUUCCAUAGAGAUCAUUGCUUUUUGGUUGUUGGUUGAAGGAAAUGGUGAAGUUGAUUUCCUUCGGCACAUCAAUUCUUUUCACGGUGAUCAUUUUCUUGCCCUUGUUGGUAUGGGUAAGCAAUUUAUUGAUGCCAUGCAUGGCAACCCUGUUGAUUUGAAAUCCAGAUCUGCCAGAGUUCCACAGUCAAGUUAUGUUGGGAAUUUGUUUCUUCCUCAAUAAUGUCUGCUAUAAGGUCUUAAAUGAUCUUAGGCGAAAGGCUGAGCAGGGGGUGACAAUUCAUGAUAUGGAAGAGUCACUCGAAUCAAAUUAUCAUGGUCUUCGUGAACACUCGAAGGAUCAACCUCUUAUAAGAAUUGUAAGGACAAAAGUAGCAUAUUUUGAAACUUAGUCUUUUGUAAUUUUAUGAAUUUAUUGCACUUAAAUUGCGUGACACUUAUAUGGAUGGCACCAAUAAUUUUCCUCAUUUACUUGUUGUGAUCAACUUCCAUAAUUCUAUAUUUUCUCUAUUCUAUAUAGAGCUACAAUCAAUAUCAAGGAGAAUCUUUAAUUUGUAGAAAUAUGACUAGUGCUAUUGAAUGCCUUGAAGAUAUGGAAGCAUCUCCAAAAUCAAAUUAUCAUGUUCUUUAUCAAUACAUGAAGGAUCGGCCACACAUAAGCACCAGCUAUCAUCAGUAUCAAGAAGAUUGUUCAAUUUCUAGAAGUAUGCUUGGUGAAAUUAAAUCCCUUGAAGAUAUGAAAGAAUCUCCAAAUUCAAAUUAUCAUGUUCUUCAUCGACACAUGAAGAAUCAGCCUCAUAUAAGCACUGUAAGCAGAAAAAGUAGCAUAUACUUAAACUUAUUUUUGUGACUUAUCACAAAUAUCAAGGAGACUGUUCAAUUUCUAGAACAAGUAUGCCUAGGGAUAUUAAUUGCAUUGAAGAUAUGGUGAAAGCAGGGGAUGAAGCUCAAUCAGACUUAGGUAACAUGAUUUCUCAGCAACAAAAAGACACUGGAUGGAGCAUAUCUUCAAGAUCAACUAUUUUUCCUACCGCUAUUGAAAACCACCAAGAUAUGGUAAAAAUGAGAUAUGGAGCCCAAUCAAUGAAUGCCUUCUCAAUAGAUCAAGAUAUUUAUAGCCCUCAACAACAAAAACCCAUUGGAGUGAACAUAUCUUAUAGACCAGAUAUUCAUGGUUUGGAAUCAUUAUUCAACAGAUGUACGAUUUCUUCCCAGUUUCCACUGAAGCGGGAUAAUACAUUUCCCCAAAGUUCUACAAUGAACAUUAAUCCUUAUGUCCAUUCACCUAUCCCUCAACAUCACAUAACAUUAUUUGUUACUUUCUCUAAUGGAUAUCCAUUGACUAAAAAGGAAGUAUAUAACUUCUUCAUGAGGUGCAGUAGUUCUUAUCUCUCGUUCCUUCUAUAUUGCAGCAAUUUCGGUGAUGUGGAAAGCCUAAGCAUAGAGGAGUCUGUUGAACUCAGGCCACCACAGUAUGCACUAGUCACAUUUGGCACUCUGGAGACUG
Panicum virgatum (switchgrass) is the source of this 1592-nucleotide long non-coding RNA. RefSeq lists it as uncharacterized. The transcript is spliced from 4 exons. Lineage: Eukaryota; Viridiplantae; Streptophyta; Magnoliopsida; Poales; Poaceae. The record is from RefSeq and is a predicted model, not a curated record.